UACGUAGGUGGCGAGCGUUGUCCGGAUUUACUGGGCGUAAAGAGCGCGCAGGCGGCCAAGUCAGUCGAAUGUGAAAGCCCCCGGCUUAACUGGGGAGGGUCAUUCGAUACUGCUCGGCUCGAAGACAGGAGAGGGAAGUGGAAUUCCCGGUGUAGUGGUGAAAUGCGUAGAUAUUGGGAGGAACACCAGUGGCGAAGGCGGCUACCUGGACCGGUUCUGACGCUGAGGCGCGAAAGCGUGGGUAGCAAACAGG
RNAcentral lists this ribosomal RNA (253 nucleotides) under uncultured bacterium. RNAcentral describes it as "partial 16S ribosomal RNA". It matches the Rfam family "Bacterial small subunit ribosomal RNA", at positions 524 to 776 of the family's 1533-position model. The record is from RNAcentral.